This is a long non-coding RNA of Syzygium oleosum, 540 nucleotides long. RefSeq lists it as uncharacterized. The transcript is spliced from 2 exons. The record is from RefSeq and is a predicted model, not a curated record. NCBI's taxonomy places the organism in Eukaryota, Viridiplantae, Streptophyta, Magnoliopsida, Myrtales, Myrtaceae.
UGUGGCCACAGGAGAAAACGAGAGGGAGAGACCCACCAGACCUAUGCAAUAUAUAAGAAGGCAGUGCUCUCGAUUUCAGAAAUUUCUCCUCCUGCAAUCCUCUUACCAAGAUAAUCUGCUUCUUGUUCGGAUAGACCCGCCAUUUGGAAAGCAAGGAGAAGACAGAAAAUGUCUCUGUCCACGGAUUUUGCUUCCCUGGCGAUCUUCACAGAGGAGUGUUAUCUCCACAAUGCCACAAUGGACAUGGAGAGGAAGAGGAGCGAUGAUGAUGAGGAAGAGCAAGGAUGUGACGAGAAUGCAAGAACAGAGGAGAGGGAUGAAGCGACAGGGCAUUGCAUUGCAUUGGAGUUUGAUGGGUUGCACUGCUUUGAGACAAUCGUGUCACAUUGAUUUGUCUUUGUAAUUAUUCAUUCUUUUUUGUUUUCGUUUUUUCGUUUCUGCUUCUUUUUGUGAUAUUCUUUUUCCUUUUAUAGGGGGGGCAAUUCCUUUUAGAUCUUGUUACAUUGUAAGGGAAUGAAGGACGCAAUUUUGAGGGUCCAA